This 1596-nucleotide unclassified non-coding RNA is filed under the name Hevea brasiliensis (rubber tree). The record is from RNAcentral. Lineage: Eukaryota; Viridiplantae; Streptophyta; Magnoliopsida; Malpighiales; Euphorbiaceae.
GGGAGACUGCUGCUACUACUUCACCUCCUUCUUUCAUUUCUUGCUCCUUAUCUUUCUCCCAUCCUUUUGUUUCUUUUUUGCCUUACCUAGCCUAGCUGUUUCCAUGAGAGAUGGGCAACUGUCAAGCCAUAGAUGCUGCUGCUUUGGUCAUACAGCACCCUUGCGGCAAAAUAGAGAGGCUUUAUUGGCCAAUUUCAGCUAGUGAGGUUAUGAGAUUGAACCCUGGUCACUACGUUUCUUUGAUUAUUCCAUUGCCUCCUGUAUCUGGGGAUCAACAUAAAGAUAAUAACCCUGAAAAGAAGACUGUUCAGUUCACUCGUGUCAAGCUUCUCAGGUCUACUGAUACUCUUGCACUUGGCCAUGCUUAUCGCCUUGUUACUACUCAAGAAGUAAUGAAGGUGCUGAGGGCAAAGAGGUAUGCGAAAAUGAAGAGGCAGCAGAAUGAAUCAGUUGAGAAGCCUCAGACGGCAUCGGAGAAGAAGAGUUCAGAUUGUGAGGCAGGAAAUAAGCCUGCUGAUACGGACAAGGAUAAGGAGAGAGAUCAUCAGGCGACCAAGAAUGAAAGACACCGACCAAUGACACCAUCAAUCACCUCUACCGCACUCAGGACAAAGUCAUGGCGCCCCACAUUACAAAGCAUCUCUGAGGCUGCAAGCUGAUGGUGUUUUUAUUGAAAUCGCUCCAGUGGCACAUGAAAAAUUCAGUAGAUUGCUUCCAACAUUUCUGGAGACUACUGCUUAUACACAGCGAAAUAGAUUCAUCACUCCAUCAAAGGAGACGGGUUAACAGAUGUCGAAAGCAUUGUCAAUCAAAGCUACCAGUUUUAAGCCGUUUUCAAGUAAUAAGAAAUCUGUAUAGCUACAAAAAUAGCAAUGGAUCUACCAUUGGGUAACAAGUAAUAUUUUCUAGCCUUCAUAUUCUGCAAGCUUAUGAUCGAUCAAGAAUAAGAAUAGCAUAACAUAAAAAGAUAUCCUACAUAAAAGUAUCAAUACAGCGAAAAUAAGUCAAUUAUGUAGGUUUGAGUUCCAAGCUUCCCAGUCCUGAUCAACAUAGUUUUGAGCCCAUAACAAGGAUUCCCUUGCUGCUAAAGGCGCUCCAGGUAAUUUCCUCUCCUUGAGGGCAACCAGCAUAUCAGUGAAUGGCUCCACCAAUAAUGUUCCAGGUCCUCCAUACUCCUUGUGCAAGAAGUCGCUAAAUAUCUGUUCCAACACUACAAGCCGGUUAGCAUCAAAGACAAUUUUGGAUCUUUGCUUUUAUCUCAAACUUCAAACAUACAGGUAGCAUAUGAAGAAAUUGCCAACAUUGAACUAGACAUGCACAAAAAGUUGGAAUCAAUGAUGGAAGUUGUCCGUAUAACAGUGCUUAUAAUUUUGUCAGGUCCGUUAACUCUUUUGGGGUCAAUUACUAACUGUUAUCCAGUCAAACAAUCGCAGGGUUCCCAUGCGAUGAGAAAAAGAUGGUCGACCAAGUUCAAAAGGAAUCAGUACUGAAAGAAACCAUAAAACUCAAUUAGAAGAAAAUAAAAUUAAGUUGUGUGGGCUAGGAAAAAUAGACUAUGGCUUCAAUGCUGAUUAUUAUCAUCAUUUACCUAUAUUG